AGGUUUUGCUCAGCAGAGGUAUGGAAGGAAGAGUGUAGGAAGAGAAGAAAGAAAAGGAUUGAGUCUUAUGUCUAUAAUACCAAAAUCUUAACAAAGUGCAAAUCAAGAAAUGAGACAACAGGAUGUAGAAGUUUAAGCAUAUUAUUUCAGUGUGCAAAGCAUCUCCAUGUUAUUCAGCAUUGGAGCUCAACUACCGACUGUGUCAAUCAAAUAAGAGUAUCAGGUUCCUGUGCUAAAAAUAUUCCAGCUCAAAUCAUCUUGGCAGACAAUACCAGAAAAAACAAACAUUUUUCUGUCUAUUAAAGUGACCAAAUGUUAGGAGACUAAAUAUAAGCAGAAAAGACAAGUAAUAGCUGCAUAACCUUGAGCAAGAUACUGACUGAGCCUCAGCCUUUUCUUCAUUAAAAUGAUAUUUUUAAUGCAGGUCUAUAGUCUUUACUCUGCAAUUCCAAAACAGGACAAAAAACAAAACACUGUGAAACCCAAAGUGUUUUUGUAAGUUUGGCACCAGGAUUAUAUGCCAAAGAAAACCUACUGUGAACAAAUAUGAAGCCUCUAUUGUCUCAGCACUUGUAUCCGUAAGUCACACAUGCCUCUGCUAUUUGCUGAUAUUUUCUGACUUGGGGAUUAAUUCCAUGGAAAAUGUCGAAAAGGGCUAAAGAUAUACCUAUGGGUAACAGUGAGAAGAAGAAAAGGAAGCAUCUGUCUUUAUCAAUAUCUCAGAAAGUGGAGUUAUUGCAGAAACUUGAUGGUGGUAUGUCUGUGAGGUGUCUUACUGAAGAAUAUGGUAUGGGAACCACCACGAUAUAUGACUUAAAGAAACAGACAAGUUGUUGAAAUUUUAUAGUGACAGCAAUAACCAGGAACGAAUGAAAAAUAGAAAAACAUUGCAUAGAGCCAAAAAUGAAGACCUUGACCCUGUGUUGAUUGAAUGGGUUCGACAACAAAGAAGUAAAGAUACACCACUGACUGGUUUGUUGGUCGUGAAACAAGCUAGAAUAUACCAUGAAGAACUGAACUUUGAAGGAGAGUGUGAAUAUUCAGGAGGCUGGCUGCAGAAAUUUAAAAAGUGUCUUGGAAUCAAGUAUCUUCAAAUCUGUGGUGAAAAGGCUUCUCCUGAUGAUGAAGCUACUGAAAAUUACAUUGAUGAAUUUGCUAAGGUAAUAUCUGAUGAAAAUCUUAGCCCUGAACAAAUUUACAGUGCUGAUGAAACAGCUUUGUACUGGUGCUAUGUUCCUAGAAAAACUUUAACAAUGGCUAACAAAAGAGCAACAACAGAUGUCAAAGAUACUAAGCAAAAGUUAACUGUUCUUGAGUGUGCUAAUGCUGCAGGCACACACAAGAUAAAAUUGGCAGUGAUUGGAAAUAGCCUAUAUCCAAGGUGUUUAAAAGGUGUGCAUAAUUUACCUGUACAUUGUUAUGCACACAAGAAAGCAUCAGUAACGGGAAAUCUUUUCCAACUGGUUUGAUAGGCACUUUGUGCCAGCAGCAUGAGCUCAUUGCAAACUGGACUGGAAGACAACUGCAAAAUUUUGUUGUUUCUAGAUAACUGUUCUGCACAACCCCCUCCUGAACAUCUUGCGAAGAGCAAUGCUUUUGGCAUUGACUUUCCCCCCAGUGUGACGUCUGUAAUACAACCUUGUGACCAAGGAAUUCUACACGCCGUGAAGAGCAAGUAUAAACAGUUUUUUGAAAAGCAUCCUUGCUUCAGUUAACAGAGGCCUGAAAAUCCAGGACAUCCUUAAAGAAUUUAAUCUUAAGGAUGCCAUCUUCACAGUUGCUAAUGCUUGGAACGACGUUGAUAAGUCAACAUUAACAAAUGCUUGGCAUAGACUUUGGGCUACAAUUAUGUUUGAAAGUGACCUAGCUGAUGAAGAUUUUGAAAGAGUUCAUGACUCUAAUGAGAAAACAAUGGUAGCAUAAUUCAUUACCUAUGCCAAAAGUUUAUCAGCCAAAAGUGUAAAUAAGUUAGAAGAAGCUAACAUUGAAGAAAGGGUUAACAUUGAUAAUGAUGAACCCAUUGUGCAUCCUAAGAGUGAUGGGGAAAUUGCUGAGAUGGUGUUAAAUGCAGAUCAAUAUGAAGAUGGUAGUAGUAAUGAUGAUGACAUUAUGAAUUUGGGUGAAAAAAAUCUCCAUAGAUCAUAUGGUGAAAAUGUGUGACCGAUUAAUUGCUGGCCUUGAACGAUGUACAUUUAUCAGUGAGCAAGAGCUGAUGACAAUUUACUCAAUUAAAGAGAAACUGCUUAGACAGAAACCUGUGUUAAGGAAGCAGGUGAAACUGGGAAAAGUCUUUAAUAAAGCUCUCUGUGGUAAUGCCGCUUCAUCUCUUGACAAUCCUGUUUCUGGCUCAUCAGAUGUCCAGCUCCAACCUGGUUUCAUAGGCAGUGGUAAUACUGGAACAACCUCUUCUCCAAGAUUCUCAGGCAAUCAAAGGUAACAAACGUUCAUUGCAUGUAUAUGUGUUAUGGGUUAGUUUUCAUCAGUAUAAGUUUUAAAUUUUACUUAAAAUUUCCUUAGAAAUAAGAAGCUUUUUCACAAGUGACAAAACACAUUAAAAGCUUAUGGUAUGUGUGGUCUAUAUUUAUCUUCAUAUUUCAUUUACCAAUAAACGUAUUUAUUUAAAAAUGUUAUUUACCAAUGAAUUUACUAAUAUAUUUUUGUAAAUAAAUUGUAAUAUUAUUUAUGGUUUUGUUUCACUUAGUGUGAAUUUUCACACAUUUAUUCGCAGAAAUAGUAAGAUUAAUGUGUUUCAUUACAUAGUACUGUCCUGUACCCAUUUGGAAUGUUACAAAAUGUAUGCAAUUUAUGUAGUAUAUUCCAAAGGAUUCCAAUUUCAUCCUGAAUUCCAAAAAAUUCUCAUUUCCAAAACACAUUUGGUCCCCAGAGUUUUUAAGAGAUUAUAGACCUGUGAUUCUUUUUUGUUGUGAAUGAUCCAGUGAAAUGAUCAAUGUAAAAUGUCUCACACAAAGUAAAUGCCCAUUAAGUGUAGUUGCUAUUAUUAAUAUUGCGUUACUCUACUUUAAAAAUGUAAGACAAGCUUUUUCUGACAUUGAAGUUAGCAAUAGCAUAGGUAAUGAUAUGCAUUCUUCAAGUUUUAUUACUCUAGGAGAUGCUUUGGCAAUGUGCUGCUGAUAAAGUGUAUUAGAGUAUCUCCUAAAUCUUCAUCCAAGAAUGGAAACAUUUUGCAAAUCAGAGGAUAGAAAAUGUUAUGCUACAUCAAAUUAAAUUGCAUGUUCAUAAAAUAUGAACACAUCUAGUUAGCCCUUAUUAAUCAAAGAAAUAUAAUAUUUUUAUCUGCUGCUAACUAUCCCCUCAGCUCCGUGUGCCAUAAGCACCACACAAACAAUAAUUUAAUCUCCCUUGUGAGCAAAGAUUGAUUUUUAACCCUCUUCAUAUAAUUUCAGCUACUAUUAUAAGACCUUGAACAUAGCUGAAUACAUAAAAUUGGUAUUCUGUUUUGUAAAGAAAGCUGUUAUUAGCCUGAUGAAUGUGAAUUGAUUCCUGUGGCCUUGUCUUCUUUGUUUUGUUUUUUUGUAAUGUUUGUUCAUUUAAAAUAUAAGAUGUGUUGCUUUUCUCUCAUUAUAAAAGGCAUACAUCGUUCUUGUAGAAAACAUGGAAAAUACAAUUUAUAAAGAAGAAAAUAAACUCAUCUCUAAUGUGAC
This 3662-nucleotide long non-coding RNA is filed under the name Homo sapiens (human). RNAcentral describes it as "non-protein coding lnc-PANK1-2:3". The record is from RNAcentral. Lineage: Eukaryota; Metazoa; Chordata; Mammalia; Primates; Hominidae.